GACCGGAUAUGGAGGAGCCUAGGUGAUUCCUGGUGUAUGCGUAGUCUUAUCUCUGGACCAGAGAGGGUCAGCCGGAGGCUCUAGGUCACACAGCACGGCCUAGGGAAGAUGUGGAGACUGGAAUCCUCACCCCCGGCCCCGUGGCACACACACACAGACCCUUGUCCUGGAUGAGAGAACGCAGACCCCCAGCUGAAUCUCGACCCUCCAAGGACCCUUUUGAAAGCCCCCCAGCAUCACCACUGCACCCAAGCUGGACCACCCCAAGGGGAGCCACAUUCCCCCGGUGCAUCCGGCACUUGGGCCAAGGGGACCUCAGGCUGCCCACCCAGGAUGUGGCGCUGGGGUGGGGGGAGCCAUCCUGACUUUGCAAGAUCCUUCCCAGGGCCGCGUGGCACAUAAACCCCCGCUGGGAGCUGGGACACUGAGGGAUACUGAAGUCCAAGAUGUUCUGCCCCGUCUCCUAGUCCAGUGGGUUCCCACUGGAGCAAAGGCACAGAGAGGGAAGGAGGGAGGGAGAGGGGGGCCAUGGCGGGACUGCCGACCUCAGGGAAAACUCCUCGUGUCCCCAAGGAGAGAAAGAGGAGGCAGAGCGGGGACCGGAGUGGUCACACCAGCCGCCUACUGGCUCCCAUGUCUCCCCCACUGCGGCCGAAGCACCUCCCCAAACGCCCGUGUGAUGGGGUCACUCGCCGCUCAACACACAUCCUCGUGUUGAAAACCCGAAGUCACCUACGCCACAGCCACUUGGGGAGUGUAAAUUGUUCCAUCUUCUUCGGAAGGCUGUUUGGCACCCAGCAAUCCCCCUCUUGCGUCCAUCCUCCAACAGAAAUGCUGUUUGAGUCGGCCCAGAAGCUGUAAAUCACAGCGUUCAGAGCCACUGAAGUGAGUUAUCAUCGACCCAAACUGGAAACCACCAGCUGUCCAUCAGCUACAGGAGGAGAAGUCACGACCUAGUUGUGCAGUGGAAUACUACGCAGCCGUGAAAAAGAAUGGGACUCAACACCAGGCAUCUCACACCCAUAACGCUGAACAAAAGAGUAAAUACCGUGCAAUUGGAAGAACAAAACAGGCCAAGUGACCGACAGUGUCCCAUGCCAUCAGUUUACCCUUAGGAGGGGGGAGGGGCAAAAGGGACUUCUGACGUGGCUGGCCUUGUUUCCUUUCUUAACUUGCCGGCUGAUCACAGGA
This 1191-nucleotide long non-coding RNA is filed under the name Equus asinus (donkey). RNAcentral describes it as "lncRNA (ENSEASG00005038801.1)". The record is from RNAcentral. Lineage: Eukaryota; Metazoa; Chordata; Mammalia; Perissodactyla; Equidae.